RNAcentral lists this long non-coding RNA (6098 nucleotides) under Heterocephalus glaber (naked mole-rat). RNAcentral describes it as "lncRNA (ENSHGLG00100033975.1)". The record is from RNAcentral. Lineage: Eukaryota; Metazoa; Chordata; Mammalia; Rodentia; Bathyergidae.
GUCUGUUGUGAUUCUGAUGGGCUUUCCUUUGUAUGUGAUUUGUUUCUUUUCUCUCACUGCUUGUAGAAUUUUAUUCUUCUGUUGGAUUUCUGGAAUCCUAACUAUUAUAUGCCUCUGUGUAGAUUUUUUUGAUUAAGGCUAGCUGGAGUCCUAUAUGCCUCACUUAUCUGUAUGUCAAGCUCUUUUCCCCUCCUUGAGAAGUUUUCUGCCAUCAGUUCUGUGAACAUUUUUUUUAUGUCAUCUCCACUCUCUCCUGUUUCUUCUUUGACUCCAGUCAGUCUUAUGUUAUUCUUUUUUGCAUCAUCUAGCAGCUGCUGGAUUGAUUUCUCAUGUUCCCUUAUAAUUUUGAAGCAAUUUUUCUUUUUCUGUUCAUUAGUUGCAAUCUUAUCUUCUAUAUCUGAAAUUCUGUCCUCACAUUGGCUAAUUCUGCUGUGUAGGCUUUCAAUGGAAUUUUUCAUCUCCUGGAAAUCUAUUUGCAUCUGUUUUAUGGAUUCCAUUUGUUUCCUAUGUUGGAAUUCCAUCAUGUUCCUGAGCUCCUCUCUAGAUUUAUUAAUCAUGUCUUGCACUAGGAGCACAAUUUCUCCUGUUAUCUGAGAAAUUAUUUCUGAUUUCAUUUUUUCCAGAUCCCCUUUUGUUGCCAGUUCAGUGGGUCCAGGUGUUUGAGUAUCAGAGUGUUCCAUCUCAUUUCCCUUUGGGGUUGCUGUAGGUGAUCUGGAAGUCUGGUUUUGAGACUUAUUUAUGUGUUUUCUCAUUUUGACUGGGGGGGGGCGUGCAGAGGGAGUGCUGUUGGUGCUGCACAGCUCACCUCCUCUGAGCUGGGAGAGGUGGGACAGGAGCCAGGAGUGGCGGGAGGGAUGGUGGCCCAGAAGCCCCUUCCUCUGGGCCGGGAAUCAAUCCUAAAUAUUUUAAAAAUAACAUUUCCUCUUAUAUGGAAAGCCCCAAAUAUAAAGAAGUUAGAGAGCAAAAUAAAAAGUAUAUCACAGGAAACCAGGAGGAGGAUCUUUUGGAAAAGAGAAAGGGGUCAAGAGAUGGAGGGAAAGAAGGGGAAUGGCACGGAAAGGGAUGAAGAUGUGUCGUGUAUGUGCACCAACCCCCCAUGAGGAAUGUAAGCACCAUGUACCACAACACGCAUCAAUAAAACACACUGUUUUCAAUGUGCAAAAUGCUGUCAUGCCUACAAAGGAAAUUCUCUCAUUUUAAAAAUAUGUGACUGAAAUCUUGAUGCCCAGAAGUUAUUCUAAUGAUUCUUCAUGAAACAAAUAUUUGACAUAUUCUGUGUGAUUAAAAUUUUUCUCAUUGAGUUAUCUUUUCUGUAACAGAAUAUCAAUUGCAUUAUAAUAUGGAGUUGUCACAUCUCUGGAAAGUUUUCAUUGUUCACCCUAAAGCUCAAGCCUGCGUUAGGUGUGCUGUUUCAGCUGACAGUAACAAGCCUCUUGAGUCAUUGAUAGCAGUUGCAGUGUAUUAGAAAUGUGUUCUUUCACAGUUCUUGCGGGGACAAGUUCAAGAUCAAGGUAUGAACACCACUGGCUCCUUCUGAGGGCCAUGAGAAUCUGCUCCAAGCUGCUCCUUAGCCUCUGAUGGUUUGCCUUCAAUCUUGGGGUUCCUGGGCUUGAGAAGCAUCACCCCAACUCCUGGUUUCACCUUCUCAAAUUUCCCCUUUGAGGACACUAGAUGUAUUUGAUUAGAGUUUAUCUGGAUGACCUCAUUUUAACUUGAUGACCUCCGUAAAUAUCUUAUCCCCAAAUAAGGCCACAUUCUGAAGUACUGGGGGUGGGGUUAGCGUUUUGAUGUAUGGACUUUGGGAGCAUCCAUUCCUAACUGUGGAAGAGUGAAGUACACAGUUGUGAUGUCAACCCAUGGUCGAGUCGUCUAAGGGAGUCACAGCCAUGCAAGCCUUGGUAGCUAUGCACAGGGCUAGGGAUCUAUCUUUUCUGCUUUGAUGAGCACAGCACUGCUGCUAUUACUAGUUAUCCUGUGAGAUUUCCUGAAGGAGGAAAAACUCUCAGAACAGUGUGCUCCACGUGAAGCACCAACAGUGCCCUUAGCCUUGUGCCAGCCGUGCCCAGUGACGAGCAUGACUCACAGGAAAGGCAAGGACCAACCCUUUCCUGGCCCUCACUGGAUGUCUACAUUUUCCCUUUCCCCCAAAUUACAGGAAUCCAUUGGAAGGAAUUUUUAUGUGUUAGAAGAUUAUUUUUGUGAAUUUGAUCUUAAGAAAUGUCUUUAUUCAGAAAAGAGGUUUCUGUUCACUGGUAUGGCAUGAGUCUUGUUCAUUUCUAUAUUUUUGUUACUUACACUUUGGAAAUAAAAAACAAAGAAGAAAGGGCUGGGCGUGGUGGCACAUGCCUGUAACCCCAGCUCUGGGGAAGCUGAGGCAAGAACACUGCAGGUUUGAGCCCAGCCUGGGCAACCUAGCAAUAAGUGAGACCGUGUCUCAAAAUAAAGCAUAAGAAACAAAGAAGAUAAAAUAACAACAUCAUCUAGUGACUGCAUCUUUUAGAAUUAGAAAUCAAAGUGUACUAUAUAAACACCUGUAGUGGCUCUCAAACUUCGUUAUUGAAACCUACACCACAAGGCGGCGCCAGAUUAACGUAAAAUGGGCUGCCCCACAAAACAAGGAACCUGGAAGUUAACUUUAGUGUGUAAUUUAACCCAACAUAAACUUUAGGUGUUGUUUUUUUCAGAGCUGAGAAAUUGCCAGUAUUUAACAAUUAAAGAAUCUUUUUCAUAGUCUGCAUAAAACCUAACCUCCUUUCACAUCUGAGAACAAAACAGUUUCUCUGAAUCCCUCAACACACACACAUACACACAUCCGUCAAUUGCUCCAAAACUACACUGAGGUCCCAUAUUUGCAGGCCUUUUAUUACCAUGUCAUAUAUUUUAUUAAUUAGAAGGACUUGCCAAAGUAGAUGAAAUAAAGUUUGUUGACCAUGCAGUAUGCCUGUCCAAAGGUCAUGCAUUACACGCUUGCUGAAUUUAAAUCUGCAAUUGUGUUGUGGCUAACACACAGAACAUUCUGUCGCGCUGGCCCCUGCUAACACUACACUCCCACAUCCCACAGGCCUGACCACAAAGGCACUGUCACGCUUGCAAGACAAACAUGUGACCAGCUCCUGAUCCCUGUUGGUGAGAUGGACUCCCCCAGCUCUGCCCUUCUCUGUGACUAUCAAGACCUCUUAUGUGAGCUGUGGAGUGGCAGAACCCAAGUUAUAUCUGGAAUUCUUCCUUUAAGGGAGAGUGGGAAACCCAACUGUUUUACAGAACAAGAAGGCACUGUGAGGUAGAUUUUAAAUGGACCAAUCCAGAGAAUCUCGGUGUUUUUUGUUUUCUAUUUGGUUUAGUUUUCUAUAAUUAUUAAAGCUUCUGUAUACAUUAUUACUCAAAAGUCAAUGUUAUUUCUAACAAUACUGGUGAGGAGGUUGGAAUAUGCAGAGAUUCAAUAAUAUGUCGCCAUGUUUAGGGUCUGUUUGAAAUUAUGUAUCUUGAACAUUUUUGAAACUAUACUUGUUUUCAAACUAUUUAAUUGCCUAUUUUGAAACUACACACCCUGAAUAUUUUGGCAAAUAAUCAAAUUUAGUGAUAUCUUGUUGAGUAUUUCUUUACACAGGAGUCAAAUUGUACCUUAAAUAGAUUAAAUGCAGAAUUUGAAACACUGAGGAAGACAUUGGCUUCUUGGGUUAUUGCUUUCAAUUUUCCUUUUUCCCAGGAGUAUUUGACCCCUCACAAAAAGCUGGAAAACUGUGUCCUCUAGUACCUUGGACUCUAAAAUUCAACUGGAACUUCUCUUAUCCUAGAAUAAUUCAAAAUAUAACAGAAGCAGGAACAUCAAAUGGAUGAUUACUGUUGAACCCAGUGAGAGAGAACCAACCAGAGACCGAUAUUAAAUCCACACAGGAGUUUAUUACUGGCCAGGACCAGAGCUGAGCAUCAGACUCCAGCCUCAACUGGGGGUUGACAAACAUGUUUUAUACACCUUUGAGGCCAACAGUUUCUAGGCCCCCCUAUGGGAUAGAACUAGUAAAGCAAGCAAAAGGUACAGAAGCAGAACGUCCUGCUGUUAGAACAUUUGUGAAACAAUAGUUGAUUAAUUGUCAUUUCUAAAGAGACUUUCUAAGGGGAGGAGGUUUUUAAGCUUCCUCCUUCUGAGUUCAUCUAGAGGGCAGGCAGGUGGGUCAAGCAGCAAUAUGGAGUCUGUCUUGAUAACUAGGGUCUUUCAGUUACCACCUUCUCACUGGGCCCAUUAUUUAACAGUUCCCCAGGUCCUACUUAACGUGGCCCAUUAUGUCAGCCUAUGACCUUUCACAAAGCUCAUGGAAGAUGCUCCAAAAUGAGAAAGAACUGUGGGUACAAGCAAGAGAGAAACUGGAGUAGACGUGGGUUUCUUUUAUAUGUUAAACAAUUUCCCAUAUCUUUGCUUUGCAGAUCUGACUGCUGCUCUAUAAUUUCCAUUAUAUCACAGAUUGGAGGUGAGGCUGCAGUAAGAGGACUCAGCAUAUGCCACUGACUUGGCCUUGGCCUUUCAAGCCUCCCAAACAUACCGGGGAAGCCAUCCUAGAGAUGUUCAACCACCGAGCAACAUCUCUGGCCCUGUAUUUUAUUCUCUUUUGAGACAGGAUCUUGCUAAGUUGCCCAGGCUGGCCUCAAACUUGUUACCUUCUUUCCUCAGCCUCUUGAGUAGCUACGAUUACAGGUUCUAAAAAGCCUUCGAAGCUAAAGUUCAUGACAAGUAUUGGAAUGUGCACUGAUGAAUCUUUAGGAAAGAGGAGAUAACAGAGACUUGAGAAUUCUCACAUGGCCACACCUAGACUGUCUUCAUGCUGCUAACAAAGGACACCACUUACUUUUAUGAAUGAGUCACCCUCGUGGGGCUUCUGCUAUCCUCUGGCCCCUUUCAUUUCUCCUUGUUAAUUUCUAGUAUCUGGAAAUAAGGUAAUAAAUUAAAAAUGGCUCAAAGCUCCCCUACCAGUCACACUUUGCUUUUAAACAAUUGUGAAACAUUAACACUCAGGUCAUUCAGCUGCAAAGCCACCAGGAGGCAACAACCCACUGCCAUGCUGCCCCUACCCAGAUGCAGCCCAAAGCUUGGAAGCUCAUUUCACAUUCCAUCCCUGCCCUCCCUUCAGCACUCCCUUUGGAUUCCUGAGAGCCAGAAACCUGCCACAUUUACUCAAGCAAGUAGGCUCUAUAUAUAGAGGGCAUUUGAGAACUGAAAUCAUCACCCUGAAUCAUGAGUGUAGCUUUUCCUCCAGGGCCCCCUUAACUACAGGAAGUUAUUUUUGAGAGCUGCACAAGGCGUCAGGGCAAAGCAAAGAGAACAUAGUACUUGGAGGGCAAAGAGGAGCAUAAUAUAGAGACAAAAUCGACCAAUGAAAUGUGAAAAGGAGGGCAGUCUUCCGACUGUGUAGGACUCAGUGGUCGAUCAAGCAAAUGUCUCCGCAGACCCACUUUAUAAGACCCAGAGAAGUGAGAUGGAAACCAGUUGAAUUGUGUAUGUUGCAAUUUUACAAUAUUACCUCACCUUUGCCUCACAUGGAAAUUGUGCUCUCUAAUGCAUUUCACUGGAGUCAAACAAGACUUUAUUCCUGAGCUUAUUUUGUUUUUAUUUGACCACCAUAGCCAGCAUCUGGGAGCUCACGCUACUUCUUACAGUCCUGAUUUACCAUCUUGUUUAGACAGAAAACUCAGAGAGAAAUAUAUAUGUACCAGAAAAUAUCAAGAGAAGCAAAAUGAGUCGCCGGGAGAACCACAUCCUUCAAAGUUGCUUGUGAUGGUGUAAUUAUUUCCUUGAUGUUUAAGCAUAUUUCAACUCUGCAAAGAUUUAGAAUUGAUUACAGAAAUGUGUAUGUGAAUCAAAACACAGUAUUGCUAUUUGUAAUAUUGUACAUUAAAAAAAUAUUUAUACAUUUGUUAAAUUUCCAAGAAUUUGGCCAGAGUAGCACAUCAGCUUUGUAUAUCAAAUUUAAAAUGUGUAACUGAAUAACUUAGACUUGUGAUUUUAAAAUGAAAUCUUACUAAGUUUACACUUUGAAAGCUUUCUGUCCUCCUUGCUCAGCCUCCCAGAUUGUUGGUGUUAUAGAUACGAGCCACCGCAUCUGGCU